UUUCCGUAGGUGAAUCUGCGGAAGGAUCAUUAUUGUAUAACCGAGGUGCGAGGGCUGUCGCUGACCCGAAAGGUCGUGCACGCCCGAGUGCCCUCACACACAUCCAUCUCACCCCUAUGUGCACCACCGCGUGGGUUCCCCUUUGGCUUGUUCGGAGGGGGGCUUACGUUUUCACACAAACUUUGUAUGCAGUGUAGAAUGUAUUUUUUGUUUUUGCGAUCACGCAAUCAAUACAACUUUCAACAACGGAUCUCUUGGCUCUC
Molecule: unclassified non-coding RNA, 263 nt
Filed under: plant metagenome
Description: partial contains small subunit ribosomal RNA, internal transcribed spacer 1, and 5.8S ribosomal RNA
Source: RNAcentral